CUGCUCAAUUCACUGUCAUUUGGGAUUUAAAUCACUUUGUUUCUGUUUAUGCAGCCCUAGCCACACCUCCCCUGGCUAUGAUUGACAGAGCCUGCAUGAAAAAAAAAAACUGGUUUCACUUUCAAACAGAUGUAAUUUACCUUAAAUAAUUGUAUCUCAAUCUCUAAAUUGAACUUUAAUCACAUACAGGAGGCUCUUGCAGGG
Non-coding RNA from Pelobates cultripes (western spadefoot toad), 204 nucleotides. The record is from the annotation of a GenBank genome assembly. Lineage: Eukaryota; Metazoa; Chordata; Amphibia; Anura; Pelobatidae.